Molecule: RNA transcript, 475 nt
Organism: Rhinopithecus roxellana (golden snub-nosed monkey)
Lineage: Eukaryota; Metazoa; Chordata; Mammalia; Primates; Cercopithecidae
Gene name: 40S ribosomal protein S24 pseudogene
Exons: 1
Source: RefSeq, a predicted model, not a curated record
AUGAAUGACACCGUAACUAUCCACACUAGAAAGUUCAUGACCAACCGACUACUUCAGAGGAAACUUCACCCCAGGAAGGCAACAGUGCCUAAGACAGAAAUUCGGGAAAAACUAGCCAAAAUGUACAAGACCACACUAGAUGUCAUCUUUGUAUUUGGAUUCAGAACUCAUUUUGGUGGUGGCAAGACAACUGGCUUUGGCAUGAUUUAUGACUCCCUGGAUUAUGCAAAAGAAAAUGAACCCAAACAUAGACUUACAAGACAUGGCCUGUAUGAGAAGAAAAAGACCUCAAGAAAGCAACAAAAGGAACGCAAGAACAGAAUGAAGAAAGUCAGGGGGACUGCAAAGGCCAAUGUUGGUGCUGGCAAAAAGUGAGCUGGAGAUUGAAUCACAGCCGAAGGAGUAAAGGUGCUGCAGUAAAGGCUACCUGUGUCCAUUUUGGAUUUUUCACGAGCAGAUUAAUAAACUAAAAACU